RNAcentral lists this ribosomal RNA (427 nucleotides) under uncultured bacterium. Its description in RNAcentral is "bacterial SSU rRNA". It matches the Rfam family "Bacterial small subunit ribosomal RNA", at positions 78 to 518 of the family's 1533-position model. The record is from RNAcentral.
AAGGAUGGUAUGACGUUAGUGGCGACGGGUGAGUAAUGUAUGAGCAACCUGCCUUUCAGAGGGGGACAACAGUUGGAAACGACUGCUAAUACCGCAUAAUGUAUUGAGAGGGCAUCCUUUUGAUACCAAAGGAGCAAUCCGCUGAAAGAUGGGCUCAUAUCUGAUUAGUUAGUUGGCAGGGUAACGGCCUACCAAGACUGCGAUCAGUAGCCGGACUGAGAGGUUGAACGGCCACAUUGGGACUGAGAUACGGCCCAGACUCCUACGGGAGGCAGCAGUAGGGAAUUUUUGCGCAAUGGGGGAAACCCUGACGCCAGCAACGCCGCGUGAUUGAAGAAGCCCUUCGGGGUGUAAAGAUCUGUCAGUGGGGACGAAACUUGACGGUACCCACAGAGGAAGCAUCGGCUAACUCCGUGCCAGCCGCCGC